GUGUCAGCCGCCGCGGUAAUACGUAGGGUGCAAGCGUUAAUCGGAAUUACUGGGCGUAAAGCGUGCGCAGGCGGUUUUGCAAGUCCGAUGUGAAAUCCCCGAGCUCAACUUGGGAACUGCGUUUGAAACUCCAAAGCUAGAGUAUAGGAGAGGGGGGUAGAAUUCCACGUGUAGCAGUGAAAUGCGUAGAGAUGUGGAGGAAUACCAAUGGCGAAGGCAGCCCCCUGGCCUAAUACUGACGCUCAUGCACGAAAGCGUGGGGAGCAAACAGGAUUAGAAACCCCAGUAGUCC
This 292-nucleotide ribosomal RNA is filed under the name uncultured Methylophilaceae bacterium. RNAcentral's name for it is "partial 16S ribosomal RNA". It matches the Rfam family "Bacterial small subunit ribosomal RNA", at positions 505 to 796 of the family's 1533-position model. The record is from RNAcentral. Lineage: Bacteria; Pseudomonadati; Pseudomonadota; Betaproteobacteria; Nitrosomonadales; Methylophilaceae.